AUUGAACGCUGGCGGAAUGCUUUACACAUGCAAGUCGAACGGCAGCACGGACUUCGGUCUGGUGGCGAGUGGCGAACGGGUGAGUAAUGUAUCGGAACGUGCCCAGUCGUGGGGGAUAACGUAGUGAAAAUUACGCUAAUACCGCAUACGAUCCAUGGCUGAAAGCGGGGGAUCGCAAGACCUCGCGCGAUUGGCGCGGCCGAUAACAGAUUAGGUAGUUGGUGGGGUAAAGGCCCACCAAGCCAACGAUCUGUAGCUGGUCUGAGAGGACGACCAGCCACACUGGAACUGAGACACGGUCCAGACUCCUACGGGAGGCAGCAGUGGGGAAUUUUGGACAAUGGGCGAAAGCCUGAUCCAGCCAUUCCGCGUGCAGGAUGAAGGCCCUCGGGUUGUAAACUGCUUUUGUACAGAACGAAAAGGUUUCUACUAAUACUAGGAGCUCAUGACGGUACUGUAAGAAUAAGCACCGGCCAACUACGUGCCAGCCGCCGCGGUAA
Molecule: ribosomal RNA, 500 nt
Filed under: uncultured bacterium
Lineage: Bacteria
Description: partial 16S ribosomal RNA
Rfam family: Bacterial small subunit ribosomal RNA
Source: RNAcentral